RNAcentral lists this transfer RNA (72 nucleotides) under Salmo salar (Atlantic salmon). It matches the Rfam family "tRNA". From Rfam's summary of the family: Transfer RNA (tRNA) molecules are approximately 80 nucleotides in length. Their secondary structure includes four short double-helical elements and three loops (D, anti-codon, and T loops). Lineage: Eukaryota; Metazoa; Chordata; Actinopteri; Salmoniformes; Salmonidae. The record is from Rfam by way of RNAcentral.
UCCCGUGUGGCUCAGUUGGUAGAGCAUGGCACUUACAAUACCAGGGUUGUGGGUUCGAUUACCACAGGGGAC